ACUCAUUUGUUUAUUAUAUUGUUUAUGACUGCUUUCAUGCUACCAUGGCCAAGUUGAAUAGAAACUGCAUGGCUCUCAAAGCCCAAAAUAUUGACUAUCUGACCCUUUACGAUAAAGCCUGCUGACCACUUAGGGAGACUUCUUCCAGUUAAGAAAAAAACAAACCCAUUUAAUUUUAAAAUUGCUUUUACUAAUUGUUUAAGUGUGAAGAGUGUUUUAUUAUGGUGUUUUUUCCUUUUCAAAGUUAUCUUACUCUUUUGCAGUAAUGCCUGAAAACUCAAACUUUCCAUAUCGGCGGUAUGACCGGCUCCCUCCAAUCCAUCAAUUCUCCAUAGAAAGUGACACGGAUCUCUCUGAGACUGCAGAGUUGAUUGAGGAGUAUGAGGUUUUUGAUCCUACCAGACCUCGACCAAAAAUCAUUCUUGUUAUAGGUGGUCCAGGAAGUGGAAAGGGUACUCAGAGUUUGAAAAUUGCAGAACGAUAUGGAUUCCAAUACAUUUCUGUGGGAGAAUUAUUAAGAAAGAAGAUCCACAGUACCAGCAGCAAUAGGAAGUGGAGUCUUA
Molecule: small RNA, 563 nt
Filed under: Pongo abelii (Sumatran orangutan)
Lineage: Eukaryota; Metazoa; Chordata; Mammalia; Primates; Hominidae
Description: retained intron
Source: RNAcentral